RNA transcript from Olea europaea var. sylvestris, 11316 nucleotides. RefSeq lists it as uncharacterized. Lineage: Eukaryota; Viridiplantae; Streptophyta; Magnoliopsida; Lamiales; Oleaceae. The transcript is spliced from 10 exons. The record is from RefSeq and is a predicted model, not a curated record.
UGUAUGUUGCACCCAACACAAAUGGACUUUUAAAUUUUCCAACAUAUCAAGGAUAACUUCCAAGAAAUUGUAAUGAGAUUUUAGCUGAAGUAUUGUAUGCUUUACUGGACUAUUAGUAUCAAAUAUGAGCAAUAGACAUGCAAUAUUAGGGCCCAGUCUAUUGAUGUUGUCAAGGCGCGAUUGCAUUAUUAUGACACUCAGAUCUUCACUACUCCCCUGACUUCUCUCUCUAGAUUGUGACUCGAUUUAGGCAGCAUAAUCCCCAAUCAAAAUCCUACUACCAUUAUUGGACUUCAAUGGGCGCACAAAUUCCCUUUGUGACUUGGCGCCCCAUUUCCUUCGUGGACUUCCUCUAUACCUGAUUCCUCCAAUUUGUUCUCUUUUCCAUCAGAGUUUUUAUUGACCACCAAACAUUGUAGCCCCUUAUUUUUAUGCUUGAUUGGAUUCUUCUCCUGCCACCAAUGGUAUAAUCGUUUCGCUUAUUGUAUAUCCCCGCAAAGGAAUUCUGUAUUUGAAAUAGUAGAUUGUGGUAGAUUGACAUCAUUGCAUUUCCCACCAGCUGGGCCAGCUCCUUGUUUGAGUCAGCCCAUUGUGCUUAAAGCAUGCCAAUGACUCCAUUCCCCAAUUUAGAUCUUAAAUCCUCCUUCAAUAGCGAUUUUAGAAACCGAGAUUGGUUCACAAAUCUUUUUCCUUCAAUCGUCCAUGGUGAAGGGAAAAAUAUUUCCAGCAGCAAAUUCUUUGAUUGAAGCUUAACAAUAGAAAACUGCUGGAUAGCAAUUGGGAAUGUGGGAAGUGAUUGCACUAAAUACCUUGUUAUUGGAAUAAACUGAUGGAUCUUGUAUAGCAUUUUGUCCACGAAGAUUCGAUAACUGGUUGCACCCUCUUGCGAGUUUUUCAAUAAAUGAACCCGGCCAAGUAGAAUACUAUGCUUGGUAACCCCGCCAUAGAUCAAUAACUUACUUUCUUUUGUGCAAACUGCCCUUUUAUGGUCUUUAGCACAAUUAAUCAAAUGACAAAAUUAAUUAAAGAUCCCAACCUACCGCCAAUCUCCACGCCAUUGUCGUUGUUAACUACCUCUGCAUCUUUGCUGCCACCGACCCAUUCAAAUCCAUUGUCAACGAAUUUCCAAUCUUUCCAACUUGUUUUUCCUGUCCUGUAACACUCUUUUCUUCUGUAGUAAUACCUCGUGGUGUUGUAGUACCCGUUGCACUGGAUACUCGAAUUAGUUCCCCCCUUUAUUUGAAAUUUAGCAAGGGAAAAUUGUUUGAAAUUAGUGGAAUUUGGUUUUGGAAUUGAUGGAGCUGCUGAUUGCAGCAUAUUGGUGUUAACAGGGGAUUGAGACAAGCAAUCGGAUGGGUUCUAGGGUUGUAAACAAUUAUUUUUGGGUUAUCUUCCUUUUCCAAAUUCGGGCCCAUCCCUCCCGUGCUUUGUUAUUUGGAACUUUGCAGUCUAGUUGUUGGGCAACCUCUAUAACACAGUCCCGAGCAACUAAAUUUUAGUAACAUUUCUUCCACUAUAAUCCCUUGAAUCAACCCAUUAACCAAGCACUUCCCACCACCACCUACAUCACGCUCUGCAGCAGCAGCAGUAACAGACCUGGAUCGAAGAUCACCAUCUUCUUUCACUGCGUCUCGUCGCCUCAUUCUCAUCUGCUUCGGGAAAUUUUGCACAGUUGGAGUUAAAAUCUCAGGGUCCCGCGUGUAAUCUUUCUCUAUUUCCUCUGAUUUCUAUGCUGAAAUCUUCUUGAAAAUAUUAGCCUCCGACAACAGAUUAUUGGAGAAGAUCCUCUCCAAGCGGUACAGCCACCUGUCUUGAGUUAUCUCCACUAAAUAUUGGUGGUGACUGAACCUCCGAAACACUUCCAGAUCUAUCUCCCUCCAUAGCUUUGUUCAUGGUUGCUUUUGGAAAAAUAAGAGUUGCCAAAGUUUUCUGUGUAUCUUCCAUGGAUUGCAGCAUCUUUGUCAUGCUCUGUUUGAGGUGUUCCACUGGGAUCUCUAGGCCUGUUCCAAGUUCCAACUCUUCGAAGUACAAAAUGGAGGGUAGUGGUGCUACUAGUGACGCAUAGGGGACUGUUUUCUGAUGCGUACAAUGGAGGAUGGUGCUUUUAUAGAGUAUGAUUCUUUUUUCUUAUUUAACUUUGUUCACUUCUAUACCGCAUAUAUACUAGGAAAGGCCAGAAAGAUUACUUCCCUCUACAGCGACGUCCAUUCGGCAACAAUCAUAGAUGUAGAGCAGUGCAAAGCUUGCCAUAGCUAAAAUUUACAGGCAUAUGCCUUAGAACUGGAAGAGAAAAUCUUAAAGCUUAGAGAAAUGAACCAUGAGUUGCAGAAAAAACAGGAGGCUGGUGAAGGAAUUGCAUACCGAUUGAGGUACAAGGUGGACAAUGAGCGCUAGUACUAUGUAAAGAUGAACUACUUCCCAACGAUUUCAGUUCAAAACGAGGCUUGCAAAGAGCAUUCUUCUCCACUUGCUGAUAUGGUUGGAACCUGUUACAAAUCAACAGGAAAUGUGAUGCCCAAUUUCAUAGAAGUAAUGGAGGAGUUGUUUUUGAUGAUGUUGAUAGAAUGAAUGGCCAAUCAUUAUGUGGGCGUACAACUGUCACUUCAUGCCAGGUACAAUGAACAUGAUCAACUUGUCUUAGAGUUUGUGAUGUCAUCAAAUCACCAAGCUUCUCGAAAACAUCACGAGGGAUAUGUUAGCGUAGUAGCUUGAUGCGUUACAACUUUUGGGAUGGGUGGUGUCUUUGUCAAGCCUGAUGCCAUAAUUAAAGACUACCUGAAUGAUGUUGCGCCUCUCUUUGGUGGCUUCUUGACCAUUUUAGGGGUUUUUGAGUUUCCAGCUCUUCAAAGUACAAAAUGGAGGGUAGUUGUACUUCUAAUGAUGCAUAGGCGACUGCUUUCCGAUGCGUACAAUGGAGGAUGGUGCUCUUAUUGGGUAAGAUUCUUUUUUCUUAUUUAACUUUGUUCAUUUCUAUACCGCAUCUGUAUUGGUGGAGAACAAAAGGAUUACUUCCCUCUACAGCAACGUUCUUUCUGCAACGAUCAUGGAUGUAGAGCAGUGCAAAGCUUGCUAUAUCUAAAGUUUACAGGUAAAUAAUGAAUUGUGUACGUAGGUUUCUUGAAUUUUUGCUGCUUGGUACAUGUGUCUGUAAUCUAAAAUUUAAGAGAGCAAUAGAAUUCGUAUGAUGGUUUUGCCAUAUAUGAUGUGUGUAUCUUUGAUCCAUAUUUAAGUGUUUCUUACUUCAUGAGUAUUGUUUUGAAAUUCUCAAAAGAGGCUGAAAAUAUGGACAAAGAGAAAAAUGAGAUGAUUAAAAUAAUCUGUUGUUAGUCAAUAAGUAUUUGACUGCUGACCUAAAGGAUGAUUUGGGGUACAUUGAGGAUUUUGAGUUCUACUAGGAAUUUGAUUUUGUUACAUGUGAGAGGAUGGCAAGAUCAAAGUUUUUAGGUUGGAUGAUAAAAAAUGAAAAAAUGGGUCGGAAGUGACUAAUUUGGGUGAUAUGUUGUUCCUGGAAUUGUACAUGAAGCUUUUGUUUUGGAGAUGUUUGGGUAUAAUGGAUGUAAAGGUAAUUCUAUAUUUUUUUUUACAGAUGAGUUCUUUUGUGGUAGGAAAGAUGAUUGGGAGUCGAAGAGUCUUGGUAUCGGAGUGUUUUAUUUAGAGAGUGGGAGUAUUGGGCCAAUUAAUAGUCACGAUGGUUACUCCCCCAUGUUUUCAUUGCCACCUGCUUGGGUUUGUUCUAAUGUGUUAUGUUGAGGAAUUUAUAUGUUUUUUUCCUUUUCGUUUUUUAGGCUAAAUAUGUUUUAAAUAUACAUUCCAGUUAGUCAUUCUGGUCAUAUUUUAUUUCUGGUUGCUGCUAUAAUUUUACAGCUGCACAACAAAGCAUAGUUUAUGUUGAUAAAGUUGACAAAUCACCAAAAAGGUAUUCCGAAGCCUACUUUAGUAAAUAAAAUCUUGUAGUCAAGUGUUAAAAUCAUUUAUGUUAAUGCAAUUCAUUCCAUACUGUAUCUACAAUGUUAGCAAGAAUCCAAAUUUUUUUAUCUAACUUGGAUGCUAACAUGUUCACCCUAAGUAACUGUUUGAAAAUUCACAAAAAAAACCAAGGCUAGAGUGUAUAUAUAAUGCAGACGUAAGGCUAAAAAAUUUUUUAACCUUCAACUCAGCAUUUUAUGAAGAGAGGGAGAUACCCUUGCUUUUAAUGGGCUAACAGAAUGUUCUGAGUUCAAAAGACUUAUUUUUCUGAAUACUCUCUUUCUGCAUAUAAUGAACAUACCCAUAAAGUUUUUUCCUCUUCUGCAGUGUCUUUUAUGCCAUAUACAGUUGAGUAGGAAAACAAUGUAAUGUAUAUAAAUAAAGGACAUCCCUGAUCCUCUGUUUAUUAAAAUCCCUUAACCUAUGGAGGGGUAAAAGAAAAGAACAUAGCACAAAGGACACGGGUAGUGGGAAAAAGAGAGACCAGUCCACACCAUAAGAUUAUCAAUUAUUUCAUUGGGUAUGAAUUACCACAAUGUGUUUGUGUGUUUCUUCAUUAGUGUACUACACAAUUUUUCCAUUGAUUAUAUCCUUCUUCAUUUGAGUGCAAAAUUUAUGGCUGCUAGUGAAUGUUGAUUUGCCAUUGAGGAUGAAUCACCACAGAUUUGUUUGCGUGUUUCUUAAUUUGUUUUCUUUAUUGUUGAUUAUGGAUUAAAAUCACGAAACAAGUGAUGCCAACAAAAUUAUGAUAUACAUGAUCCUAAUAGAAUUAUGAGUUGCUUUUCAGAUUAUCCAUACAAGACACCUAACAUCAUGCAAAAAUAUAAAAAGCAAGUAGCGAUGAAUAGGACAAAAGAAAGUUGACAAUGGAAUUAGGAAGGAGUCACAAUUGCUUUUGGGAAUAUCUUUUAUUUUUUGAACUUUGCACUGAAUCUAAUAUACCAUCUGGUUAUUAACUCAAUGGCAUUAAGCAUUGCAGGUUUACGUUGUGCUUCUUUCUCCAGAGUAAUUUUAGUUGAGCUUUAUUCUAAUUUCUUCCACUCCAAGUAUAGCUCUUAGAGAAGUGCUGGGCUUUAUGCUAUUGAAAAGAAUUUUGAAUUUCAUAUUGAAAUUUUUUUUUUUAAUGAAACUUUCCUUUCUGAACCUGCAAAGUAUAAACUGCACAAGUCCACCAUCAAAAUUAUUACUCAAGACAAUUAAAUAUCAGGUCAAUGAUUCAAGGAAAAUUUACUUGAAAAUUGGCUCUUGAUCUACGAUUAUGCCUUUCUUUUUCUACACUGUAAUCUUAUGCGAGUUAUUUGUUAUGUGGCUAACCAAUGUCCGACUUCUAAAGUUGAUUCCAUGUAUAUAUGUAAAUCAUUUCUAUCGAAUGGUUUUGGUGAAUAAUGAGGUGCAGUUGUUAUUGCAUUUUAACCAAUAUAGAAUAUGAUUAUUUUCCUUUGGCUGUUUCAUAGAUUUCAACCAACAUAUAAUAUAUUUAUUUUCCUUUGACGAUUAUUCCACUUUAUGCUCACCAUCUGUAGGACUUGCUUUGUCCAAACAUCUUAGUAGUUUGUGUCAAAUAUAUUUAAUAAGACUCGAUGUCCCUUGAUGUGAGAGGUUUUCUCAUUAUAUAGAACUAAAUAUAAACUAAAUAUGGUAACAACAAUUUAUCUAUAUUUGGUACAAUUAUAAUAAUAAUAUAGUUGUAAUCUUCGAUAAUCUCCACAAUCUUAUUGACACCUCCUCUCAAAUUGAUGCUGUUAAAAGCAUCAAUUUGCAAUUAUGAACUGAAGACGGUGACAACACUCUUGCCCACGAAGAAGAAAUCUAAAUUAGAGCAACCAUCUACGAAUGUAAUGACGAGAGACCAAGAACAACAAAUAGUGCAGAAACAACUAAGAGCUAUUUCAAAAUCACUCUAAGAACACUCCAAAGAGCUCACUUUCUAAGAAGAAUUUUCAAAAGAAAUUCACAAAGUGUGUCGACACAUACAACAAGCUCUAUUGGUUGGGAGAACUUAGUUGAACACAUAAUUUGUGUUCCGACAAAAGCUCUAAUGCCAAUACAUUGGCAAAAAAUUCAGCAACAUAUCGCUGACGAGAUGCUGUAGUUGGAAGAAAUCCCACAAAACAGUGUUCAAAAAAAAAAAAAAAGAUCCUUUUUUGAGAAUUCAAAAACCACCCAAGGAUGAACCUCCUUCGAGAUUCCAAAACUCUAGCUCAUCAAUUGAGCAACCAAAAUACAAAGAUUUGCACUCCCAUGUCUCUCUCAAUCAUAUGACCCAUCAACAAGAUCCCUAAGUUCCUUAUUGGAAGCAAAUCAAGCCACAGUCCAGAGCUUACACAAAAUUAGCCUAGAAAGAGAAACCACAAUUUAUAAUCCAAUUGCUCAUAACCAUAAAUGUCCAUUAAAGUCUCCAAGACCUAACCUAUUCACUAAAAAUAACGAAGCCUAAAGUAGUAGGCUCUACCAACAAAUCUAUGACAAUAUUAAACACAACCCAGUAGUGCAUUAACUCAAAAUUUCAUAUAAAAUCCAGCCCACUACAAGCCCAAAAUUUAACUCCUCAUUUGAGGACCUUAAUCCAACAAUACAUAUACAAGCUCACUUAAAUACUAUUUAUCCAUUAUUCAUAACAGCAAACUAAUAUACAGGUCUAUUAUCAAAAUUAAUAAUAGAACCUUUGCCCAAUUUAAAUGCACAGUGUAGCCCAAUUGAGAUUCACGAGAUAGUUUGCCUCCACUUCACAGAAUAGCCCACAGAAGGCGAUCUGCAACACAAGAACAAUGAGUAUUGAAGUGUAAGAUGUUAAUGGGAUUGCAAUUACUUACUAAUUUCUGCAUUUGUAUCCAUGUAUCGCUGAAGAUUUUUGAACAAUAUGAAGUUGUAAGCUGAUGAAAGGAGAGUUAAAUUGUUCAUUAACUUCAACAACGUUGGUUUUUGCAUUGAUUGUCCAUUGGAUGUCACCAAGUUGGGCUCUAUAAUUUUUAUCCAUUUUUUUAGCUUGUGCAUUUGAGAUGAGGUAUGUUUUAUGUGGUAGUAAGGUGUCUUAGAAAGCUGUGAUGGAGUUAUCGAAUAAUGUAGUCUGAAUUUUGUUCCCCUGCAUAAAAAUUAAGUUAAAAGAUGUUAUGGUAAGAUUUUAAGAGAUAGGACAAAAAAGAAUUUUAAUGUAAGGGAAAUUUUUUUAGGAUUUAGAAAUGAGUAUUGAAUUGGAAUGUUAAUUUUAAAUGAAAUAGUGAUGUUUUGUGAUGUGUUAUAAUGCAUAUAUUAUGAAUGAAUUAAGGUUGAAACCUAAAGUUUUCGGUGGUGGAAUAUAUUCUUGUUGGUUAUGUAUAAAUCUAGAUGGGACCUUUUAUGAGUUCUUUUUUAUUAUACAUAGGGAUUACACAGAAUUUAAGUACAGGAACUAAAAGGAGCUAGAAAGCUAUUAUGUGAGGCAGAAAGUUGUCAAGCUCGAAAAGGGAAAAUGAAGUUUACUGUUUGAGAGUAUAGUGUACAAGAAACAAUAGAUUUGGAUAUAGAAUCCAUUAAAGAAAUUCAAAUGGUGUUCUUUUUUCAAAAGAAGGGAGCAUUUGUAUGUUUAGAAAUCCAAUGUUGUACAUCCUCUCAUUUAUAUAUUCUGGAAUGUGCUGCAUUUGAGAUUUCAAAAUAUUAGAACUUGAAUGAAUUAAAUUUAGUAAUCUUGUUUUUUUGAAUGGAAGAAAGAGUUUAAGAGGCCGUUAUGUGCAUUUGGUUUAGAAUAAAAAAUUGAUAAAAAGAUGUUUAAAGUUAAUGGUUUUGAUUUAUUGUGGAUCAAAGUUUCAAAUAAAGGAAACUACGUGAGAAGAUUUACCUAAGGAUCCGUUAACCAAAUGUGUUAUUAUUUCAAUGGACCGUUCCAAGCUUUGCUGGAGAGCAUUUUUUUGAAACUAUUGCCACCAUAGUCUACAAAAAAUGAUGAUUAUAUAUUCUAAAAGCAUCAUUAAGUAAAAAUUGAAAAUCAGCUAAGUGAAUGAUGAACUCUCUAGUCACCAAGAGCUCCUCUCUCUAGUAUCAUUCUUUGCUAAAUUGAAGAAAAAAUAUAUGAUCUGCAUCUUGAACUACAAAGAUAGACCUCUUCCCUCAAUCAACAAAUCAUACAUCAUUCUUAGAAGUCUUGAAAGCUUUGAGACCUCAUAUUCUGAAACACACAAAGACCUCCCGUACAUUUUCUGGUAUGCUUGAGGAAGUUUGAUUAGAGAUAAACUUUCCCCUAACAAUUUUCGCAACUUAACAAGUUGUCCUUUCAAAUCAUUUAGAUCUCUCGAGAUUGUACUUGGGGUCAACUCAUUACGCUCACUAGAAGCAAGGUUACCUGUUGAAGCUUUGCUCGGCGUACAUGUUGCUUUUUCUUCUUCAUUUGGAUGAAGUAUUGCUGUUUUAUCUUGGUGUGCAAACCCUUUCCCAGGGGGCCACAUUAGACCAGUCCUAUAGAUAGCGAUCUGCAUUCCUUAGUAUGGACGAGACUUUAAUCUAAGAUAGAAUAACAACGAUAAUUAUGUAUCCACAUUGACUUAGAAUAUGAAAUUCGGGAGCAAAAUCUACUUACCCGAGAUUAAUAAGAUAUAUGAUGGCUGGCGAUUGUCUAAAACAAAAAGGAACAUCUACCAAAAUUGCUUUGUCGGCAGUAUCCUUCCUCCCGUUGGGAACCUGUACAAGUUUGAUAUCGGUCACUUGACACCCCUCUUAUUCGCCUCGAAAUUGCAUUAAAAUUUUCGUAUGCUGAAAACACGGUUAUUGGUCCAUUAAUUGUGGGAUGGGCUUGUAAAUCCAUCAUGAUGUUACCAGCAAUAUUUUCUGGAUGCACAUCUUUUGGCAUUGAUAGUUUUCAAUGUCCCAAAGGAUGGUAAUAGGAUCGUGUAUUGACAAAAAUUUAAAAGAAACAAUCACUAAAAUAAUCAUGUAAUCUCAGCGGAUCAAAAAUAAUCCUCAUGUGACUUGAGAAAGUGAUGAGAAAUUGAUCUAAUAUAUAAUAUCUAGAUAUUUUCCAUUUUACCCUAGUUAGAUGGCACUGUAUAUUUUUAACACUUGAAUUGGAGCUCUGAUGAAUUUCUUAAUAUUGAUGGCAUUUUGAAGGAAUAUACCUUAGAACUGGAAGCAAAAAUCUCAAAGUUUAGAGAAAUGAACCAAGAGUUGCAGAAAAAUAGGCAUAUUAGUGAUACUAGUCAACGUGGACUUAUCAAGACGACCUUUAAUGAUAUUGAUAUAAAUUGUUAAAUGAUUAUUUUAAUGUCUAUUGCUUUUAAAUUUCUUUCCUGUUACCAUUAUUGGGGCAUUGAGAACUGCCCCAUGCCAAAAGGUGCGCAAGAAGAUAUUACUGGUAACAUUAGUGUAAACCCAUCCUACAAUUAAUGAACCAGUGACUGUAUUUUCAGCAUAUGAAGAUUUUAAUGCAAUUUCGAGACGAAUGAGAGGAGGGUGUUAGAUGUGUUGACAAGACAAUUUUGGUAGAUAUGUUCCUUUUUGCUUUGGACAAUCGCUAGCCAUCAUCUAUCUUGUUAAUUUUGGGGGAUAGAUUUUGAUUCUGCACUUCAUGUUCUAAGUCAACGUAGAUACACAAUUAUUGUUGUUAUUUCAUCUUAGGUAAAAGUCUUGUCCACUAUAAGGAAUGCAUGUAGCUAUCUAUGACGCUGGUCCAGCAAGGCUCUUGGGAAAGGAUUUGUGCACCUCGAUAAAGUAGCGAUAUUUCGUUCAAAUGAAGAAAUAAAAGCAAUGUGUACAGUAGAAAAAGUUUCAACAGAUACACUUAUUUCUAGUGAGCAUAAUGAAUUGUCCUCCUAGGUACAACCCCCUAGAGAUAUGAAUGAUUUGAAUGGACAACUUAUUAAGUUGCUAGAAUGGUCAUGUGAAGGUUCAUCUCUAAUCAAGCUUUCUCGAGCAUACCAAAAAAUGUACGGGGAGGUCUUUAUAUGUUUUAGAAUAUGAUGUGUCAAAAAUUUCAAAACUUCUAAGCAGGAUAGAUGAUUUGUUGAUUGCUGAGGAAAAAGACAGAUAGAUUUGUCUAUAUCUAUAAUUCAAGAUGCAGGCCAUAUAUUUCUUUUUCAGUUUUAGCAAAGAAUGAUACUAAUGAUUUUCACUUAACACCCUCCUCUCAUUCGUCUAGUGGGUUGAUCAUUCCACUAAACCGAUUUUCACUUAAUUAUGCUUUUGGAAUAUGUAGUCAUCAUUUUUUGUAGACUACGGUGGAUGUGAUAUUCACAAUGUAGUUUUCAGCAAGAAUGCGUACAUCUCACACAUAGAUAAUAAAUCAGAUCCUUUUUGAGCUAUUAACCCAGUAUUUCUGCUUUAAUUUAUCCUUUAGUUUAUAUUUCUUAGAUAUGAGAUGACUAGGGAGUCAUCAAUGCUAGUUUAUAUAAUAUCCUUGUUGACUGCUGUUUUUAAGCCUUAAGUUAAUUUUCUAGUGUCAUUUUGUGUUCAAAUUUUUAGUUUUCAACCGGUGCCUACGAUUUGUUUAAUGUUGCAGAACAUGUUAAAUUUCGUCUUCUCAUGUAAAUCAUCUACAUUUUCUACGUGUUGUGGUGUCAUUAAUAUAUGGUUUAAGUAGGAAUACUUUUCAGUUAUUAUUCUACGCACACACCGUCAUUAUUUGUGUUCACUAGCAUACCUCAAGGAGCUCUCUGAAUCGCAUGUAUUUCGUUUAUUUAUACUUGUUUAUGAUUUAAUUUCAAUUUUAGGCUCCAUUGCCAUUGAAUCAGAGAAAUUUGAGUUGUAUCUGGAGAGAGUUUUUUGCUAGCGUCUUUGGAUGAGUAAAGGGGCAAAAGCGAUGGGUUAUUUCAUGGAUGGAAUAGAGAUUGAUAAAAUUUUCACUGUCUUCCAUACCCGGCAUAAUUUGUUUAGAGUAUGUUGUUGAGACUUUCUCCAUAAAUGUUCAUUAUUACUGGGUAAUGAAACUCGUAUGAACUUAUUUAAUAAUUCUUUUGUUAUAUAAUCAUGAUCACCAUUAUUGUGAUGGAGCCAGAUUCUUUGCCAACUUUUUUAGAUGAAGAAGCAUUUACAUGUAUCGAGAGAGAGUUGGGACUUCCAUUCAAUUCUGUUUAUUCAUCAAUAUCUGCUUCUCCGAUUGCUACUACCACUCUGGGUGAAUUGUAUAAAGCUCAAUUGAAGUACUUUGGCUAGGUUGUUGUGAAGGUGUAAACACUUUGUAUUAAAAAAGCUACAGGGCUGGAUUUUUAUCUUAUAAAAGGUUUAGGCUUCCUCAUAGAUAAAUAUGUUGAAAUAAUUACAAGUGAUGUUGCUCUUAUUGAUGAAUCUGCUCAAAGAGUUUAACAAGAGCUCAAUUAUGUGCAGGUUAGUUUUUUAUAUUAUUUUGCAUUUACUACUGAAGGAUAUCAAUGUGGAGCACUUUUCUUA